Molecule: ribosomal RNA, 2787 nt
Filed under: Escherichia coli
Lineage: Bacteria; Pseudomonadati; Pseudomonadota; Gammaproteobacteria; Enterobacterales; Enterobacteriaceae
Description: bacterial LSU rRNA
Rfam family: Bacterial large subunit ribosomal RNA
Source: RNAcentral
AGCGUACACGGUGGAUGCCCUGGCAGUCAGAGGCGAUGAAGGACGUGCUAAUCUGCGAUAAGCGUCGGUAAGGUGAUAUGAACCGUUAUAACCGGCGAUUUCCGAAUGGGGAAACCCAGUGUGAUUCGUCACACUAUCAUUAACUGAAUCCAUAGGUUAAUGAGGCGAACCGGGGGAACUGAAACAUCUAAGUACCCCGAGGAAAAGAAAUCAACCGAGAUUCCCCCAGUAGCGGCGAGCGAACGGGGAGGAGCCCAGAGCCUGAAUCAGUGUGUGUGUUAGUGGAAGCGUCUGGAAAGGCGCGCGAUACAGGGUGACAGCCCCGUACACAAAAAUACACAUAUUGUGAGCUCGAUGAGUAGGGCGGGACACGUGGUAUCCUGUCUGAAUAUGGGGGGACCAUCCUCCAAGGCUAAAUACUCCUGACUGACCGAUAGUGAACCAGUACCGUGAGGGAAAGGCGAAAAGAACCCCGGCGAGGGGAGUGAAAAAGAACCUGAAACCGUGUACGUACAAGCAGUGGGAGCACGCUUAGGCGUGUGACUGCGUACCUUUUGUAUAAUGGGUCAGCGACUUAUAUUCUGUAGCAAGGUUAACCGAAUAGGGGAGCCGAAGGGAAACCGAGUCUUAACUGGGCGUUAAGUUGCAGGGUAUAGACCCGAAACCCGGUGAUCUAGCCAUGGGCAGGUUGAAGGUUGGGUAACACUAACUGGAGGACCGAACCGACUAAUGUUGAAAAAUUAGCGGAUGACUUGUGGCUGGGGGUGAAAGGCCAAUCAAACCGGGAGAUAGCUGGUUCUCCCCGAAAGCUAUUUAGGUAGCGCCUCGUGAAUUCAUCUCCGGGGGUAGAGCACUGUUUCGGCAAGGGGGUCAUCCCGACUUACCAACCCGAUGCAAACUGCGAAUACCGGAGAAUGUUAUCACGGGAGACACACGGCGGGUGCUAACGUCCGUCGUGAAGAGGGAAACAACCCAGACCGCCAGCUAAGGUCCCAAAGUCAUGGUUAAGUGGGAAACGAUGUGGGAAGGCCCAGACAGCCAGGAUGUUGGCUUAGAAGCAGCCAUCAUUUAAAGAAAGCGUAAUAGCUCACUGGUCGAGUCGGCCUGCGCGGAAGAUGUAACGGGGCUAAACCAUGCACCGAAGCUGCGGCAGCGACGCUUAUGCGUUGUUGGGUAGGGGAGCGUUCUGUAAGCCUGUGAAGGUGUGCUGUGAGGCAUGCUGGAGGUAUCAGAAGUGCGAAUGCUGACAUAAGUAACGAUAAAGCGGGUGAAAAGCCCGCUCGCCGGAAGACCAAGGGUUCCUGUCCAACGUUAAUCGGGGCAGGGUGAGUCGACCCCUAAGGCGAGGCCGAAAGGCGUAGUCGAUGGGAAACAGGUUAAUAUUCCUGUACUUGGUGUUACUGCGAAGGGGGGACGGAGAAGGCUAUGUUGGCCGGGCGACGGUUGUCCCGGUUUAAGCGUGUAGGCUGGUUUUCCAGGCAAAUCCGGAAAAUCAAGGCUGAGGCGUGAUGACGAGGCACUACGGUGCUGAAGCAACAAAUGCCCUGCUUCCAGGAAAAGCCUCUAAGCAUCAGGUAACAUCAAAUCGUACCCCAAACCGACACAGGUGGUCAGGUAGAGAAUACCAAGGCGCUUGAGAGAACUCGGGUGAAGGAACUAGGCAAAAUGGUGCCGUAACUUCGGGAGAAGGCACGCUGAUAUGUAGGUGAAGUCCCUCGCGGAUGGAGCUGAAAUCAGUCGAAGAUACCAGCUGGCUGCAACUGUUUAUUAAAAACACAGCACUGUGCAAACACGAAAGUGGACGUAUACGGUGUGACGCCUGCCCGGUGCCGGAAGGUUAAUUGAUGGGGUUAGCGCAAGCGAAGCUCUUGAUCGAAGCCCCGGUAAACGGCGGCCGUAACUAUAACGGUCCUAAGGUAGCGAAAUUCCUUGUCGGGUAAGUUCCGACCUGCACGAAUGGCGUAAUGAUGGCCAGGCUGUCUCCACCCGAGACUCAGUGAAAUUGAACUCGCUGUGAAGAUGCAGUGUACCCGCGGCAAGACGGAAAGACCCCGUGAACCUUUACUAUAGCUUGACACUGAACAUUGAGCCUUGAUGUGUAGGAUAGGUGGGAGGCUUGGAAGUGUGGACGCCAGUCUGCAUGGAGCCGACCUUGAAAUACCACCCUUUAAUGUUUGAUGUUCUAACGUUGACCCGUAAUCCGGGUUGCGGACAGUGUCUGGUGGGUAGUUUGACUGGGGCGGUCUCCUCCUAAAGAGUAACGGAGGAGCACGAAGGUUGGCUAAUCCUGGUCGGACAUCAGGAGGUUAGUGCAAUGGCAUAAGCCAGCUUGACUGCGAGCGUGACGGCGCGAGCAGGUGCGAAAGCAGGUCAUAGUGAUCCGGUGGUUCUGAAUGGAAGGGCCAUCGCUCAACGGAUAAAAGGUACUCCGGGGAUAACAGGCUGAUACCGCCCAAGAGUUCAUAUCGACGGCGGUGUUUGGCACCUCGAUGUCGGCUCAUCACAUCCUGGGGCUGAAGUAGGUCCCAAGGGUAUGGCUGUUCGCCAUUUAAAGUGGUACGCGAGCUGGGUUUAGAACGUCGUGAGACAGUUCGGUCCCUAUCUGCCGUGGGCGCUGGAGAACUGAGGGGGGCUGCUCCUAGUACGAGAGGACCGGAGUGGACGCAUCACUGGUGUUCGGGUUGUCAUGCCAAUGGCACUGCCCGGUAGCUAAAUGCGGAAGAGAUAAGUGCUGAAAGCAUCUAAGCACGAAACUUGCCCCGAGAUGAGUUCUCCCUGACUCCUUGA